RNAcentral lists this ribosomal RNA (253 nucleotides) under uncultured bacterium. RNAcentral's name for it is "partial 16S ribosomal RNA". It matches the Rfam family "Bacterial small subunit ribosomal RNA", at positions 524 to 776 of the family's 1533-position model. The record is from RNAcentral.
GACAGAGGGUGCAAACGUUGUUCGGAAUUACUGGGCGUAAAGGGCGCGUAGGCGGCCGUUUGCGUCGGAUGUGAAAGCCCGGGGCUCAACCUCGGAACGGCAUUCGAUACGGGACGGCUGGAGACCGGGAGAGGAGAGUGGAAUAGCCAGUGUAGAGGUGAAAUUCGUAGAUAUUGGCUGGAACACCGGUGGCGAAAGCGGCUCUCUGGCCCGGUUCUGACGCUGAGGCGCGAAAGCGUGGGGAGCAAACAGG